This 604-nucleotide ribosomal RNA is filed under the name bacterium SU9. Its description in RNAcentral is "bacterial SSU rRNA". It matches the Rfam family "Bacterial small subunit ribosomal RNA", at positions 337 to 935 of the family's 1533-position model. The record is from RNAcentral.
UCCUACGGGGAGGCAGCAGUGGGGAAUUUUGGACAAUGGGGGCAACCCUGAUCCAGCAAUGCCGCGUGAGUGAAGAAGGCCUUCGGGUUGUAAAGCUCUUUUGUCCGGGAAGAAAUCCCAUCCCUGAAUACGGGAUGGGGAUGACGGUACUGGAAGAAUAAGCACCGGCUAACUACGUGCCAGCAGCCGCGGUAAUACGUAGGGUGCGAGCGUUAAUCGGAAUUACUGGGCGUAAAGCGUGCGCAGGCGGUUGUGCAAGACCGAUGUGAAAUCCCCGGGCUCAACCUGGGAACUGCAUUGGUGACUGCACGGCUAGAGUGUGUCAGAGGGGGGUAGAAUUCCACGUGUAGCAGUGAAAUGCGUAGAGAUGUGGAGGAAUACCGAUGGCGAAGGCAGCCCCCUGGGAUAACACUGACGCUCAUGCACGAAAGCGUGGGGAGCAAACAGGAUUAGAUACCCUGGUAGUCCACGCCCUAAACGAUGUCAACUAGUUGUCGGGGAUUAAUUUCCUUGGUAACGCAGCUAACGCGUGAAGUUGACCGCCUUGGGGAGUACGGUCGCAAGAUUAAAACUCAAAGGAAUUGACGGCGGGCGGGGGCGGCGG